This 429-nucleotide ribosomal RNA is filed under the name Chloroflexota bacterium. RNAcentral's name for it is "Chloroflexi bacterium partial 16S ribosomal RNA". It matches the Rfam family "Bacterial small subunit ribosomal RNA", at positions 355 to 776 of the family's 1533-position model. Lineage: Bacteria; Bacillati; Chloroflexota. The record is from RNAcentral.
UGGGGAAUAUUGCACAAUGGGCGCAAGCCUGAUGCAGCCAUGCCGCGUGUAUGAAGAAGGCCUUCGGGUUGUAAAGUACUUUCAGCGGGGAGGAAGGGAGUAAAGUUAAUACCUUUGCUCAUUGACGUUACCCGCAGAAGAAGCACCGGCUAACUCCGUGCCAGCAGCCGCGGUAAUACGGAGGGUGCAAGCGUUAAUCGGAAUUACUGGGCGUAAAGCGCACGCAGGCGGUCUGUCAAGUCGGAUGUGAAAUCCCCGGGCUCAACCUGGGAUCUGCAUUCGAAACUGGCAGGCUAGAGUCUUGUAGAGGGGGGUAGAAUUCCAGGUGUAGCGGUGAAAUGCGUAGAGAUCUGGAGGAAUACCGGUGGCGAAGGCGGCCCCCUGGACAAAGACUGACGCUCAGGUGCGAAAGCGUGGGGAGCAAACAGG